This 4149-nucleotide long non-coding RNA is filed under the name Heterocephalus glaber (naked mole-rat). Its description in RNAcentral is "lncRNA (ENSHGLG00000042462.1)". Lineage: Eukaryota; Metazoa; Chordata; Mammalia; Rodentia; Bathyergidae. The record is from RNAcentral.
AAAUUCCGCGCCGGAGAGACGGUAUUCUUUUCCGGGACGCACGUCCGGAGAUGGAGGCAAAGUCUCACUAUGUAGCCCAGGCUGGCUUCAAACUGGCCAUUCUGCCUCAGCCUGCUGAAUGGUGAAAUUACAGAUGUGUGCCACCGCACCUGGCAUUAUUUUUAAUUUUGAGAUUGAGUCUUGCUAAGUUGCUCAGACUGGGCUUGAAACCCGUAUUAUGAUCCUCCUGCCUCAGUCUCCCAGAGUGUGGGAUUACCAGCAUUAGCCACGACACCCAGAUGCCAGUGUUCAUUUUAACUGCUCGAGUACAAAAACCCAACCUAGAGUUAAUGAAGGGCCUAAUUUACUCAUCUGAAAGUUCACUGCCCCCAAACAUUCACAUUCCUGUGCCUUGCCCCAUGUGCGUGUGGUCCUGGGAUCUAAAGUUCCAUUCAAAUGUCACUUCCUCAACUUGGCUAUGACCUCUCUUCUGCUUUCAAUGUUAAAAAAACAUGAAAUGCUGGGCCGGGGAUUUAUCUCAGUGGUGCUGCCACCUGCCUCGAAAGUGCAAGGUCCUGAGUUCGAUACCCAGUAGUAAAGAAAAAAAAACAAAUGCUUUUUCUUACUGCUAUUUCAAAGUCAAAACCAAAAAGAAGGGCCGGGGAUUUAGCUCAGUGGUUUUGCCGCCUGCCUCAAAAGCGCAAGGACCCAAGUUUGAUCCCCAGUACCAAAAACAAACAAAAAAAACUAAAAAGAAGACUACUUUUACUCUAGUGUUUCUAACAAAGUAUUAUUUAUUUAUUUAUUUAUUUUUUGGCACUGGGGACUGAACUCAGGACCUUGUGCUUGCAAGGCAGGUGAUGGAGCCACUGAGCUAAAUACCCAGCCCUCUAACGAAGUAUUUUUGAAUGCUUCCUUUUCAAAAGUAUACAUUUCCUUAAAACUGGGUUGUGUAUUUAUAUUCUAGCACCUCCAACCAUCAUGGAGCACAGGAAGCACUGAACAAACAUGAACAGGAGAGGGGCCGGGGAUUUAGCUUAGUGGUUCCACCGCCUGCCUCACAAGCACAAGGUCCCAAGUUCGAUCCCCGGUACCAAAAAAAAAAAAAAGAAAAAAAGGAGAGACCUGAGUGCCAGUAUGAGCUGAGUGCCCUACACCAAAGGCAGUUUCUGAAUUGGCUCUGAGCUGCUCACGGGAGCAGAUAGACAAGCCCAGGAGCCAGGCGAGGUUCCUUGGGACCAAGAUGUGCUGGUAAAGCAGCUGCUGUUUGCUCUGCCUGUUACAACCAUAACGGCUUCUGGACCCUGGGCUGUGAGCCGAAGCACAGGUUCCAGAUGCAGGAAGGCAAGGCCAAGCUGUGCUUCGGGGAGAAUGGAAAAAACUGAUCUGUGGUUUGAGAGGACAAACACAGGACAGCAGGAGAGCAAAGGCAAUGAAAGUGGAGAAAGAGCAGUGGGACAGCUCUGCGCAUAUGUUGCUUACCUCUUGUGACUCUGUCUUACCCCUUUCUCACUUUUGUCCAGUUUCAACCCUGGUUUGGGAAAAACAGGCCACUGAUGGUAUCAAUGGCGCAGUGAACAUCAUAGCUGUAAUCUCCAGCUCACAUCUGCUCCUGAGAAUUAUCUCAUCAUUCUCAAAUCCUGACUCCUAAGAGUUAAAACCAUUUCAAGGACAUCCCAAAUGCUUUACUGAUAGAGUUACAGAAGCAUUCAUUCAUGCCACCAAAGCAAGAAUCACAAAUUCUGAAAGUUAGAGCUAAUUACCUCUUUGGAUACAUAAAAACAGUAUAUCAAAGCAUCCUACAAUGUGCAAAAAGGAGGCCCCUGGCAGAAGAAAAAGAAGCUCUUGUAAAAUUGUCCUAUUAGCAAGAUGACAAAGAAACUCCUCUGGAGAUCACAUUCCCAGAAAAUAAAGCUUCUUCAGCCAAAAAGAGGUCCAGCCUAGGCUUUGAUAGAUUUUUAUUUCAACCAAAGAAAAGCUCAAAGAAGACAGAGGUUCAGAUCUCCCAGGGCUGAAACUGGAUCUUCAUCAGUGUGAACCUUUGGUUUACUUUUCACAUGUGGGCAGAGCCGGAAGCAGCAAGAGCUCAAGAGCUCACAGAUGGUUCUGACUCUAAGCUGACACUUUGGCACGUGAGCUCUGGGCUGCUCUGCCAGACAGCCCGGAAUUGCUUCUGUGCCAGCCUUUCCAUGAUCUGUGUCUCUGUCUGGUUUCAGUCAUUGUCCAAACUGCUCAUGGGGUGGUCUGAGGGCACCCCUGGACCCUGCUGUGUCUGCAAAGCAGAACCUCUGAUUGAAGAUGAAGGGCUGGGAGGAUUCCUUCAUUGCCUCAAGUUUCCAGUAUGUUUCUGAGGCUGGCAAAAAUUUGCAGUGAUCUACCUGCCUCAGCUUCCCAAGUGCUGGGAUUACAGGCUAUCGCCAAGGUAGGCACUAGGAAUGUGAGAAAAAUAAGGUCAGGUUUCAGCCUUCACAGAGCUUACUACUGGGUGGGAACUGGAAAUAAUGGACCCCAGAGACAUCUGCUCCCCAACUUCUCUGCCCUGUCUCUACCCCACCUGGCUUCUGCUUCCCCGUGACUCCUGCACUGGGAGCUGAGGCCUGCAGUGGAUGGAACCCUCUUCCCCCCGGCCUGCUCCCUCCUCUGGGGCUGGGCAGAGCUGGGCCUUUAGGGGUUCGGCUCAAGCUGCACUGGCGCCCCCACCCCAGGUUUAAUCAGCAGUAAAGCUGAUGAUGUCUGUCCAGAAGCCCCGAAGCUGGGACAGGCCUGGCAGGAGCCUGAUGCCACAGUUGGCCUGAGAGGGACCUUUGCCCUGGGCCCCAGCAGAGGGCCAAGUGGCUGCGUGUCUGUGUGUGGAGCUACUACCCUGGCCGGAUGUGCUCAAGGCCACCUGCAUAAGCACCUGACACUGGGGGAGGAUUUGAACCCUCCCUGCUCCCUUAGGAUAGCCUCUGCCAGGCCAAGCAGUGACAAGCCAGGGGACUUGAGGAAGUCCUUGCUUUGCUCUGGGAUGAUGUCCCCAUCUAUCAGGUGCCAGGGGUUGCACAGAUGGGCUUUCAAGGCCCUGUCCAUUCCGGGCCCUCUGCAAUGGGAGCGGGAGGGGGAGGCUGUUCCUUUGUCCCGGAGCCAGCACCCAGGAACCUCCCUCCUUCUUCCUCCACUCAGGUUCUAGGGAAUGGCUCUGAGUGCCAAAGCUGAGCAAAUAACCCUGUGCAAGAACAGGAACAGGCGGAGGGAGGGGAUGGCUAUUUUUAUCCCACGUGAGGGAUUUUCACAGCUGCUUCACGUGUGUCCUCACAUUUCCCUGGGCCCAGACUAUUGCAGUGGCAGAGGUCCCUGUGGGUUGACGGAGGGGUCUGCUCCUCAAUGGAAACUGCCCAGCCAUAUGUCCACCUUCCACGAGGAAGUGCCCACUAAGCAUCGCCCUCCCUUGAGGCUCCCAACAGCAGGAAGCUGGAGGAAGCCACACUGGGGACCUGCGUGAGGGUGCUGACGAAUUCUCAGGGCAGCUCGAGCGCCAGGUCCCUCUAUUCAGCCAGCGUUUACGGAGCACCUGUACAAUGCCAGGCCUGGCCAGGGAGGCUGUUGCCAGUGGCCAGCAAGGAAGGGCUGAGCACUUCCCACACCAACGUGACUGGGCGCCAGGUGCUGUAGUUACCGCUUCACAGAGACAAUCUCAGACACAGUUCUCACCCCACAAUGCAUCCUGAUGCCACUUCUCACUCAGCUGCUGUCUCCACCGACUGAGCCGAGCCCUCCACACCCUCCUGCUUUGCCCGGGUGACAGAAGUUGUGCCAGCUGCUCCUCUUCACUUCACCCUUUGUCCUUACAACGCUGCUCUUCCCAGCACCCAGGAAGAAAGUGGUGUUUUUGCUUUUCUUGAGGUGGGGGAUGAACCUCAGGACCUCAAACAUGCUAAAUACAUGCCCUACCACUGAGCUACACCUCCAGUCCCAGGAGAAAAUGUUUUUGCUUUUAGAGAGAGGCUCUUGCUAUGUGAGAGUGUGAUCCUCCUGCUCCAGCCCCCGAUGGGUGGGAUUACAGGUGUGUGUCACCACACCUAGCCCAAGGAAGACAUUUUUCAAACUAUACAGGUCUUUCUCUUCUUUGUCUCCUCCCCACAAACCUGUGGCUUCCUCCUCAUGCUGAGAAUAAAGACCCGACUCCUCAUA